Molecule: ribosomal RNA, 465 nt
Filed under: uncultured bacterium
Lineage: Bacteria
Description: partial 16S ribosomal RNA
Rfam family: Bacterial small subunit ribosomal RNA
Source: RNAcentral
GACGAACGCUGGCGGCGUGCUUAACACAUGCAAGUCGAACGGAAAGGCCCCUUUGGGGGUACUCGAGUGGCGAACGGGUGCGUAACACGUGAGUAACCUGCCCUUGACUUCGGGAUAACUUCAGGAAACUGGGGCUAAUACCGGAUAGGAAUCCUUGCUGCAUGGUGGGGGUUGGAAAGCUUCGGCGGUUUUGGAUGGACUCGCGGCUUAUCAGCUUGUUGGUGGGGUAGUGGCUUACCAAGGCUUUGACGGGUAGCCGGCCUGAGAGGGCGACCGGCCACAUUGGGACUGAGAUACGGCCCAGACUCCUACGGGAGGCAGCAGUGGGGAAUAUUGCACAAUGGGCGGAAGCCUGAUGCAGCAACGCCGCGUGCGGGAUGACGGCCUUCGGGUUGUAAACCGCGUUCAGCAGGGGCGAAGCUUGUGGUGACGGUACCUGCAGAAGAAGCACCGGCUAACUACGUG